CUCAGUCCGGGUAGAUGAUGAAGCCGGAGAAGGUGCUGUACUUGUUGGUGUUGCCGCCGUGCACCUUCCCGCCGUCCAGCUUGAUGAAGACUUCGUCGCCCACGUCCAGGUGCAGGAUGACGCUGUUGCUGGCGUAGUCGUAGUUCUGGUCGGCGUCCUGAGCAAUGGCGCUGGCCCGGACCUAGCGGGGAGAACCGGACGCGCCGCUCACGCCCUGGGCGGGCCUGGGGUGGCGGAGGCGGCGCCAGGGUUGCAGGCUGCAGGGGCUGGGAGGGCAGGAGGCAGCGGGUCCUGAGCCCAGGUCCUGCCCUUCACCAGCUGUGCGACUCGGCAAGCUCCGCGCCUUCUCCACAAGCUGGGAGCUGAAUGCCCCCACAUGAGAACAGCGGUGGACUGCCCAGUGCCAGAGACCUGGGUUCCAUUCUAAUUCAAAGGAGCCAGACUCCAGGUCGGCCCACAUGCUGGUGCCGUCACCGCCGCGCAUGAGCACAUGGUAAGCGAAGAAGUAGACACCCGGCAUGGGGCAGGUGAACUUGCCGCUGGCCGCCUCGUAAGCGUUCCCGACAUUGGUCACCACGUCGUCGAAGCGCAGCACCUCGUAACCCUCGUGCGGCCGCCGCAGACCCGCGUAGAAGGCGAUGCGAGGCACGUAGCCGGCAGGGGGCGCCACCCCGCCGGGGCCUGGGCCGGGAGGACCCGGGGGACCCGGCCUGCCCGGCUCUC
Canis lupus familiaris (dog) is the source of this 723-nucleotide long non-coding RNA. RefSeq lists it as uncharacterized. The transcript has 3 exons. Lineage: Eukaryota; Metazoa; Chordata; Mammalia; Carnivora; Canidae. The record is from RefSeq and is a predicted model, not a curated record.